This 73-nucleotide transfer RNA is filed under the name Candidatus Accumulibacter sp. BA-94. It matches the Rfam family "tRNA". From Rfam's summary of the family: Transfer RNA (tRNA) molecules are approximately 80 nucleotides in length. Lineage: Bacteria; Pseudomonadati; Pseudomonadota; Betaproteobacteria. The record is from Rfam by way of RNAcentral.
GUCCCCAUCGUCUAGAGGCCCAGGACACUACCCUUUCACGGUAGGUACCGGGGUUCGAAUCCCCGUGGGGACG